Molecule: unclassified non-coding RNA, 933 nt
Filed under: Hevea brasiliensis (rubber tree)
Lineage: Eukaryota; Viridiplantae; Streptophyta; Magnoliopsida; Malpighiales; Euphorbiaceae
Source: RNAcentral
GUGCCGGAGUAUCCUCGAACCUGGCAAAUGUUUUUAUUGGGAUUGCAAACUUGACAGGGUCAAUUGUGGCCUUGGUUCUGAUGGACAAAUUAGGAAGGAAAGUCCUCCUUCAUUGGAGCUUCUUUGGAAUGGCUUUGGCCAUGGCCCUUCAAGUGUUUGCUUCAAGUGGGAUUGCAUCAAAUUAUGGAGCUUUUUACUUCUCUGUUGGUGGCAUGCUGCUGUUUGUCUUGACAUUUGCUGUUGGAGCUGGUCCAGUUCCUGGUCUCCUCCUCCCAGAAAUAUUUCCCAGUCGAAUUAGGGCUAAGGCUAUGGCAUUUUGUAUGUCAGUUCACUGGGUGGUUAACUUUUUUGUUGGACUGAUGUUCUUGCGCUUGCUCGACCAACUUGGGCCACACUUACUAUACUCCAUAUUUGGCACCUUCUGCCUGAUGGCCGUGGUAUUUGUAAAGAGGAGUGUGAUGGAGACAAAGGGAAAGUCACUUCAAGAAAUUGAGAUUGCCCUUCUUCCACAAGAAUAUAGAGAAUUCUUGUGAGAAGAAAUCAACACCCAAGUGUUUUCCAGGUUUGCAAGUAAAUGGAAGGUGACCAGCAAAUAUUUCUACUUAGUCUUGCCACUCAUCCUGAUCGUUGCAAGUCUUUAUACAACUGUUUCUGGCAGUAGUAGCUUUUUUCAAGCAGCCUGCAGGAUGCUCUGCAAAUAGAGUUAAAUAGAAUAACUAUUGGGUUGUGGUCUCUUAGCAGCUCCUAGUAUAUGGCGGCAGAAUUGUUGCUCCACGUCCCUACCCCUAUAAGAUAACAAUAAUGUUGUUACAGUGAGGACUUGGUGUAUGUACCAGAAAUGAGAGGUUACUUUUGUCCAAGUGUGUAUUCAGUUGCUUAAUGUUGUUAAACUAAGGAGGUUUAAGGUUGUAUAUAAUAGGCAAAAUUGUUUGG